CCUACGGGGUGCAGCAGUGAGGAAUAUUGGUCAAUGGACGAGAGUCUGAACCAGCCAAGUAGCGUGAAGGAUGACUGCCCUAUGGGUUGUAAACUUCUUUUAUAUGGGAAUAAAACGUUCCACGUGUGGGAUUUUGUAUGUACCAUAUGAAUAAGGAUCGGCUAACUCCGUGCCAGCAGCCGCGGUAAUACGGAGGAUCCGAGCGUUAUCCGGAUUUAUUGGGUUUAAAGGGAGCGUAGGUGGAUUGUUAAGUCAGUUGUGAAAGUUUGCGGCUCAACCGUAAAAUUGCAGUUGAAACUGGCAGUCUUGAGUACAGUAGAGGUGGGCGGAAUUCGUGGUGUAGCGGUGAAAUGCUUAGAUAUCACGAAGAACUCCGAUUGCGAAGGCAGUUCACUGGACUGCAACUGACGCUGAGGCUCGAAAGUGCGGGUAUCAAACAGGAUUAGAUACCCUUGUAGUC
RNAcentral lists this ribosomal RNA (460 nucleotides) under uncultured bacterium. RNAcentral's name for it is "partial 16S ribosomal RNA". It matches the Rfam family "Bacterial small subunit ribosomal RNA", at positions 338 to 795 of the family's 1533-position model. The record is from RNAcentral.